Molecule: ribosomal RNA, 242 nt
Filed under: uncultured bacterium
Lineage: Bacteria
Description: partial 16S ribosomal RNA
Rfam family: Bacterial small subunit ribosomal RNA
Source: RNAcentral
CCGGCGCACGGGUGAGUAACACGUAUGCAAUCCACCUGUAACAGGGGGAGUAACCCGGAGAAAUCCGACUAAUACCCAUAAUAUGGGCGCUCCGCAUGGAGAGUUCAUUAAAGAGAGCAAUUUUGGUUACAGACGAGCAUGCGCUCCAUUAGCCAGUUGGCGGGGUAACGGCCCACCAAGGCGACGAUGGAUAGGGGUUCUGAGAGGAAGGUCCCCCACAUUGGAACUGAGACACGGUCCAA